Molecule: ribosomal RNA, 497 nt
Filed under: uncultured bacterium
Lineage: Bacteria
Description: partial 16S ribosomal RNA
Rfam family: Bacterial small subunit ribosomal RNA
Source: RNAcentral
GAUGAACGCUGGCGGCGUGCCUAAUACAUGCAAGUCGAGCGAACGGACGAGAAUCUUGCUUCUCUGAUGUUACCGGCGGACGGGUGAUUAGCACGAGGAUAACCUACCUUUAAGACUGGGAUAACUUCGGCAAACCGGAGCUAAUACCGGAUAAUAUUUUGAACCGCAUGGUUCAAAAGUGCAAGACGUUCUUGAUGUCACUUAUAGAUGUAUCCGCGCUGCAUUAGCUAGUUGGUAAGGUAACGGCUUACCAAGGCAACGAUGCAUAGCCGACCUGAGAGGAUGACCAGCCACACUGGAACUGAGACACGGCCCAGACUCCUACGGGAGGCAGCAGUAGGGAAUCUUCGGCAAUGGGCGAAAGCCUGACGCAGCAACGCCGCGUGAGUGAAGAAGGUCUUCGGAUUGUAAAACUCUGUUGUUCGGGAAGAACAUAUGUGUACGUAUCCGUGCGCAGCAUGACGGUACCGAAAGAGAAAGCAACGGCUAACUACGUG